This 253-nucleotide ribosomal RNA is filed under the name uncultured bacterium. RNAcentral describes it as "partial 16S ribosomal RNA". It matches the Rfam family "Bacterial small subunit ribosomal RNA", at positions 524 to 776 of the family's 1533-position model. The record is from RNAcentral.
UACGUAGGGGCCGAGCGUUGUCCGGAGUUAUUGGGCGUAAAGCGCGCGCAGGCGGCCUCGCGCGCCCGACGUGAAAGCCCCCGGCUUAACCGGGGAGGGUCGUUGGGGACGGCGGGGCUUGAGGGCGGGAGAGGUCGGUGGAAUUCCCGGUGUAGUGGUGAAAUGCGUAGAUAUGCGGAGGAACACCGAUGGCGAAGGCAAUCCCCUGGGCCUGCACUGACGCUCAUGCACGAAAGCGUGGGGAGCAAACAGG